RNAcentral lists this non-coding RNA (45 nucleotides) under Trichobilharzia regenti. The record is from RNAcentral. Lineage: Eukaryota; Metazoa; Platyhelminthes; Trematoda; Strigeidida; Schistosomatidae.
AUCCAGAUGACGAGUCUCAAACAGGACGAAAUUCAAAUCCUGGAC